GGUUAAGCGACUAAGCGUACACGGUGGAUGCCCUGGCAGUCAGAGGCGAUGAAGGGCGUGCUAAUCUGCGAUAAGCGCCGGUAAGGUGAUAUGAACCGUUAUAACCGGCGAUACCCGAAUGGGGAAACCCAGUGUGACUCGUCACACUAUCAUUAACUGAAUCCAUAGGUUAAUGAGGCGAACCGGGGGAACUGAAACAUCUAAGUACCCCGAGGAAAAGAAAUCAACCGAGAUUCCCCCAGUAGCGGCGAGCGAACGGGGAGGAGCCCAGAGCCUGAAUCAGCAUGUGUGUUAGUGGAAGCGUCUGGAAAGGCGCGCGAUACAGGGUGACAGCCCCGUACACAAAAGCGCAUGUGCUGUGAGCUCGAUGAGUAGGGCGGGACACGUGGUAUCCUGUCUGAAUAUGGGGGGACCAUCCUCCAAGGCUAAAUACUCCUGACUGACCGAUAGUGAACCAGUACCGUGAGGGAAAGGCGAAAAGAACCCCGGCGAGGGGAGUGAAAAAGAACCUGAAACCGUGUACGUACAAGCAGUGGGAGCACCCUUUGGGGUGUGACUGCGUACCUUUUGUAUAAUGGGUCAGCGACUUAUAUUCUGUAGCAAGGUUAACCGAAUAGGGGAGCCGGAGGGAAACCGAGUCUUAAUUGGGCGUUAAGUUGCAGGGUAUAGACCCGAAACCCGGUGAUCUAGCCAUGGGCAGGUUGAAGGUUGGGUAACACUAACUGGAGGACCGAACCGACUAAUGUUGAAAAAUUAGCGGAUGACCUGUGGCUGGGGGUGAAAGGCCAAUCAAACCGGGAGAUAGCUGGUUCUCCCCGAAAGCUAUUUAGGUAGCGCCUCGUGAAUUCAUCUCCGGGGGUAGAGCACUGUUUCGGCUAGGGGGCCAUCCCGGCUUACCAACCCGAUGCAAACUGCGAAUACCGGAGAAUGUUAUCACGGGAGACACACGGCGGGUGCUAACGUCCGUCGUGAAGAGGGAAACAACCCAGACCGCCAGCUAAGGUCCCAAAGUCAUGGUUAAGUGGGAAACGAUGUGGGAAGGCCCAGACAGCCAGGAUGUUGGCUUAGAAGCAGCCAUCAUUUAAAGAAAGCGUAAUAGCUCACUGGUCGAGUCGGCCUGCGCGGAAGAUGUAACGGGGCUAAACCAUGCACCGAAGCUGCGGCAGCGACGCUUAUGCGUUGUUGGGUAGGGGAGCGUUCUGUAAGCCUGUGAAGGUGUGUCGUGAGGCAUGCUGGAGGUAUCAGAAGUGCGAAUGCUGACAUAAGUAACGAUAAAGCGGGUGAAAAGCCCGCUCGCCGGAAGACCAAGGGUUCCUGUCCAACGUUAAUCGGGGCAGGGUGAGUCGACCCCUAAGGCGAGGCCGAAAGGCGUAGUCGAUGGGAAACGGGUUAAUAUUCCCGUACUUGGUGUUACUGCGAAGGGGGGACGGAGAAGGCUAUGUUGGCCGGGCGACGGUUGUCCCGGUUUAAGCGUGUAGGUGUGUGUUCCAGGUAAAUCCGGUUCACUUUAACACUGAGGCGUGACGACGAGGCACUACGGUGCUGAAGCAACAAAUGCCCUGCUUCCAGGAAAAGCCUCUAAGCAUCAGGUAACAUCAAAUCGUACCCCAAACCGACACAGGUGGUCAGGUAGAGAAUACCAAGGCGCUUGAGAGAACUCGGGUGAAGGAACUAGGCAAAAUGGUGCCGUAACUUCGGGAGAAGGCACGCUGACACGUAGGUGAAGUGAUUUACUCAUGGAGCUGAAGUCAGUCGAAGAUACCAGCUGGCUGCAACUGUUUAUUAAAAACACAGCACUGUGCAAACACGAAAGUGGACGUAUACGGUGUGACGCCUGCCCGGUGCCGGAAGGUUAAUUGAUGGGGUCAGCGCAAGCGAAGCUCCUGAUCGAAGCCCCGGUAAACGGCGGCCGUAACUAUAACGGUCCUAAGGUAGCGAAAUUCCUUGUCGGGUAAGUUCCGACCUGCACGAAUGGCGUAAUGAUGGCCAGGCUGUCUCCACCCGAGACUCAGUGAAAUUGAACUCGCUGUGAAGAUGCAGUGUACCCGCGGCAAGACGGAAAGACCCCGUGAACCUUUACUAUAGCUUGACACUGAACAUUGAGCCUUGAUGUGUAGGAUAGGUGGGAGGCUUUGAAGCGUGGACGCCAGUCUGCGUGGAGCCGACCUUGAAAUACCACCCUUUAAUGUUUGAUGUUCUAACGUGGACCCGUAAUCCGGGUUGCGGACAGUGUCUGGUGGGUAGUUUGACUGGGGCGGUCUCCUCCUAAAGAGUAACGGAGGAGCACGAAGGUUGGCUAAUCCUGGUCGGACAUCAGGAGGUUAGUGCAAUGGCAUAAGCCAGCUUGACUGCGAGCGUGACGGCGCGAGCAGGUGCGAAAGCAGGUCAUAGUGAUCCGGUGGUUCUGAAUGGAAGGGCCAUCGCUCAACGGAUAAAAGGUACUCCGGGGAUAACAGGCUGAUACCGCCCAAGAGUUCAUAUCGACGGCGGUGUUUGGCACCUCGAUGUCGGCUCAUCACAUCCUGGGGCUGAAGUAGGUCCCAAGGGUAUGGCUGUUCGCCAUUUAAAGUGGUACGCGAGCUGGGUUUAGAACGUCGUGAGACAGUUCGGUCCCUAUCUGCCGUGGGCGCUGGAGAACUGAGGGGGGCUGCUCCUAGUACGAGAGGACCGGAGUGGACGCAUCACUGGUGUUCGGGUUGUCAUGCCAAUGGCACUGCCCGGUAGCUAAAUGCGGAAGAGAUAAGUGCUGAAAGCAUCUAAGCACGAAACUUGCCCCGA
Molecule: ribosomal RNA, 2778 nt
Filed under: Salmonella enterica subsp. enterica serovar Abony
Lineage: Bacteria; Pseudomonadati; Pseudomonadota; Gammaproteobacteria; Enterobacterales; Enterobacteriaceae
Description: partial 23S ribosomal RNA
Rfam family: Bacterial large subunit ribosomal RNA
Source: RNAcentral